This 494-nucleotide ribosomal RNA is filed under the name uncultured bacterium. Its description in RNAcentral is "partial 16S ribosomal RNA". It matches the Rfam family "Bacterial small subunit ribosomal RNA", at positions 28 to 507 of the family's 1533-position model. The record is from RNAcentral.
GACGAACGCUGGCGGCGCGCUUAACACAUGCAAGUCGAACGGAAAGGCCUGCUUUCCCUUGUGGAUUGCGGGUACUCGAGUGGCGAACGGGUGAGUAACACGUGAGUGAUCUGCCCCCAACUUGGGUAUAAGCCUGGGAAACUGGGUCUAAUUCCCGAUAGGACUGCAGGGUGGUGCCCGUGGUGGAAAACGAUUUUCUAGUGGUUGGGGAUGAGCUCGCGGCCUAUCAGCUUGUUGGUGGGGUAAUGGCCUACCAAGGCGGCGACGGGUAGCCGGCCUGGGAGGGUGGACGGCCACAUUGGGACUGAGAUACGGCCCAGACUCCUACGGGAGGCAGCAGUGGGGAAUAAUGCACAAUGGGCGGAAGCCUGAUGCAGCGACGCCGCGGGGGGGAUGACGGCCUUCGGGUUGUAAACUCCUUUCGACCGCGAGGAAGCCACCUGGUUGGAAGGGUGGUGACGGUAGUGGUAGAAGAAGCACCGGCUAACUACGUG